GGGUGGAAUAAUUUAUAGUUUUAAUUUGAACAUUUCACCUAAAAUGGCAUAUGGUGUGCUUGAGUGUGCUAUUGUUAUGUUACAGAGUUACAUGCUUAUGACUUUGUAAUAAAAGAUCUUGUAAUAAACUGGGGACGUUAUUUGUGCCACACCCUCUAUGUAUGCAUGUCAGA
Phyllostomus discolor (pale spear-nosed bat) is the source of this 173-nucleotide long non-coding RNA. RefSeq lists it as uncharacterized. NCBI's taxonomy places the organism in Eukaryota, Metazoa, Chordata, Mammalia, Chiroptera, Phyllostomidae. The record is from RefSeq and is a predicted model, not a curated record. The transcript is spliced from 3 exons.